UCAAGAGCGAUAAAUCUCAAACCAUUGUGGUUCCUAAAGGACAUGUCUUUGUUCAAGGUGACUAUACUCAUAACUCAAGAGACUCAAGAACCUUUGGUCCUGUACCAUACGGUCUUAUUCAAGGCAGAGUGCUUUGGAGGGUUUGGCCAUUUCAGGAUUUUGGACCGCUUGGACCAACCCCUUCUUAGCUCCAUG
This is a long non-coding RNA of Camelina sativa (false flax), 195 nucleotides long. RefSeq lists it as uncharacterized. NCBI's taxonomy places the organism in Eukaryota, Viridiplantae, Streptophyta, Magnoliopsida, Brassicales, Brassicaceae. The record is from RefSeq and is a predicted model, not a curated record.